This 4923-nucleotide long non-coding RNA is filed under the name Homo sapiens (human). Its description in RNAcentral is "HSALNT0131527". The record is from RNAcentral. Lineage: Eukaryota; Metazoa; Chordata; Mammalia; Primates; Hominidae.
CUAUUAGAGCUUUAUUUUGUUGCUUUAAAGGUGUCAUAUUUCCUUGAUUCUUUGUAUAUAUAUAUUUUUGAAGACUUGCGCUGCUAUCUUCACAUUUGAAGAAGCGGUCACCUCCUUUAGUCUUACUUGUUUCUUAUUAAAAUUUUUUUAAUGUUUUUUUUUAAGAGAUGGGAUCUCACUAUGUUGCCCAGGGUGGUCUCAAACUCCUGGCCUCAAGUGAUCCUCCCACCUCAGCCUCCCAAAGUGCUGAGAUUACAGGUGUAAGCUACCAUGCCUGGCUGUCCCCCAGUCUUUGUUGACUGGCUUUGGGAGAGAAAGACCUUCAUCAGUCAUCCUAGCUAAGGAUUUGAGGGAUCGCUCAGAUCUUUUCUGUAGAUACACCCACUCUACUCCUGUUGCUCCCUCUUAGGGAGAGAAGUCUUAGGUUGUAAGCUCCUCUCAAUCCUCCAAAGCUGGGUCUACACUGAGCACCUCCCAUUUUCCCUAAUGCAGUGCUCUGAAGCAUUCAAGGUUGGGCACCUUCUCCCAGUCCAGCAGAGUCAAGCCGGCUGCUCAGAUUUGCAUCUGCCGUUGAGAUCUGUGUACUGUUUGGGAGGAGGGUGCAUGAGACACCAUAUGCUCAGGGGUACGUGGAGUGCUGGGGGCAUGGAUCAGUUGGUUGGGGGGCCCACAGGCAAGUUGUUCUGUGGGUUCAUGGGCGGGCCUCCUGGUGGAGUGUUAGCUGGUUAGUGGGAUCCAUGGCUGGCUGUUGGUUGCUAGGCAUGUCCUUCCCUUCUCCUAGCAGUCCCCAGGUGACUCAGCCAUGCUGAUUCCUCAGUGUUCUGGGGAGAGACACAGGUGGGCUAUUGGGCAGCAUCCUAUAAGGUUGGGGAAGCUGGUGCUCACUCAGCACUCAGUUUCCCCUGUGGGAGAAACCACAGGCCCAGGGGGGCCUCAUUGGAGGAGCACUAGCACAGGUAAACUGAACCUUCUUAGCCUCUUCGGUGUGCUCUCUUUGCCCUGUGGGGUGCUAGAACCUCUCAGUGUUUCUGUGGGGGCAUGAGGGCUGGAACCUCCUAUUCUGUCACCUUCCUGGCCUCUUCCUACAAUUAUUUUUAUGCUCAAAUUGCCCCCGAUUUGGACAGGGGGAGAGCCUUCAGGCUGCUCCUCCAGCCCUCUCACAUGUCCCCAACGUUGUUCAGCAUUUCCUUAUUUUCCAGCACUAGACAUUCUAAGGCUCACCCUGUACUCUCUCUGCUCUUCCCUGGAAAUAGUCAUUUCUCCAAAGAGUUCUGUUCCCUUGGAAUAGAGAAUGGUAUUUACAAACCAAGAAAUGGAUUUCAGGUGUGCCAGUUGUUUCUGGGGUGGCAUUGCUUCUAGGCCCCUUCGGUGGACAGAGCUGGGAAAGAAACUGUGUGUAUCAUAUAUAUCUGCACACGUAAGCUGUGUGUGUAUCAUAUAUAAUACAUCUGCACAUAUAAACUGUGUAUGUAUCAUAUAUAAUACAUCUGCACUUAUAAACUGUGUAUGUAUCAUAUAUUAAUACAUCUGCACAUAUAAACUAUCAUCUGUACAUAUAAACUGUAUAUCAUAUAUAUCUGCACAUAUAAACAGUAUCAUAUAAUACAUCUGCACAUGUAAACUGUAUCAUAUCUGCACAUAUAAACUGUAUAUCAUAUAUAUCUGCACAUAUAAACUAUCAUAUAUAAUACAUCUGCACAUACAAACUAUCAUAUCUGCACAUAUAAACUAUAUCAUAUAUAUCUGCACAUAUAAACUAUCAUAUAUAAUACAUCUGCACAUACAAACUAUGUAUCAUAUAUAAUACAUCUGCACUUAUAAACUCUGUGUAUCAUACAUAAUACAUCUGCACAUAUAAACUAUCAUAUCUGUACAUAUAAACUGUGUAUAUCAUAUAUAUCUGCACAUAUAAACUGUAUCAUAUCUACACAUAAACUGUAUAUAUCAUAUAAUAUAUGCGCAUAUAAACUAUCAUAUAUCUGCACAUAUAAACUAUGUAUCAUAUAUAUCUGCACAUAUAAACUGUGUGUAUCAUAUAUAGUACAUCUGUACAUAUAAACUGUAUCAUAUACAUCUGCACAUAUAAACUAUCAUAUAUAAUACAUCUGCACUUAUAAACUGUGUACCAUAUAUAUCUGCACAUAUAAACUGUAUCAUAUAUAUCUGCACAUAUAAACUAUCAUAUAUAAUACAUCUGCACAUAUAAACUGUAUCAUAUAUCUGCACAUAUAAACUGUGUGUAUCAUAUAUAUCCGCACAUAUAAACUGUGUGUGUAUCAUAUAUAUCUGCACAUAUAAACUGUGUGUGUAUCAUAUAUAAUACAUCUGCACACAUGCUUCUCUGUAUUGAAAACCAAAUUGUCACGGACCACUCCCAUUCUCACGCAGCAUUUAGGGCUGUGGCUAGCCUUUCCCAGCUGUAAGAAACCUGUCUUUCAGCAUGAUAAACACAUUUACUUAUUUGCUCAGUCCUCUAAUAUGCAGAAAGUAGUUUUAGAAUUGCCAAAACCAUACAACUUGGAAAAACAAGCAUGAUUACUUCAAGAUGUGUUUGUAGCUCCUUCUGUCCUGGCAUUGGACGUGGAGAGAAAGCACAGACUGUUCCAAGUUUCAUUUUUCCCCUUCUCUGAAACGCAGAGAGCGUUGUUUGUUUCUGUUUGUAUUUCAUUUGGGUCCUCCCUCUAGCCUUAUUCAUAAAUUUGUAAAUGAUCUUUAACAAUCUGUUAUAUUUAUGAUGUUUUACUGCGUGCUGCCUGUGAAAAUGUUUCCUUCUUCUGACACGUUCCAGAACAACUAGGCUUUUAAAUUCCAAAUAUUCCUGUUUCACAAUAAACCAGAUGAGGGCCUCUGUUGUGCCACAGCUUUUGGAAUGUGGUUUAUUACCAAUAGAAGUGGCUGCGUGGCUUGUUAUGGUUUCAAUUACACGUGAGUAACAACCGGGGCCCUUCUGUGUCAGGUGCUGCUGAUCAAGGCUGGCUAAUGGGGACCUCGCUGUCCAGAACGGGCGUUUCCCAUGGCCCGGCCCAGCUGUUUACCACUUCUGUCUACCAUUUCAGAGGGGCUUUGCGGAGAUUAAAUGAGGUGAAGCGCUCUGAGAACCUCAGUCCUAAAGAAUAGCAGUUAUACUGGUUUUUGUAUUAUAUUUAUAUAUUCUUCUUGUUAAUAUACUGGUUUUAAUGUUCAUCGUUCUCUUGGGAUCCCAUGACAGUGAGCCUGGUGUACCUGAGGUCUGGGAUACUCACACCUCUCCCCAGUCCCAUGCUCCCCACUGUGGCAGUGCCUGUCAGGGACCCUGCUGACCCCAGGAAGCCUCGGUGUCCCCAGCGCUGGCUCUGCUCACACAGGCAGCAGGCUUAGUGUUCUCUGGCCUGGCUGCACUGACUGGACCAGGGACAGGGGAAGGGCCCCAAAGCACCCUGUUCCAGGCAGCCGGCCAGUCGUGGCCGAGGAGCUCCAUUCAACAGUGGCACCCAGAGGGGCCAGGGUCUCAUAAAGCUGGUCAGACGCCCCCUCUGGGUAGGGGUGUAGGAAGCGGCUGUGCAGCCGGGUCCCAGGUAGGGAGGCAUAGAGUGAAGGCUGUGAGCAGGAGCCCUGGGGCGGAGGGCCAGGAGAAGGCUGGGCACAGGUCCAUCGGUGGCAGCUGGGUGGGCAGAGCAGAGAGGCUGCAUCUGCACGACGGCAGGGCCCUGGUGUGGGAACAGCAGACGGGGCCCCUGGGUGCGGCGCCUCCUUCCCACAUCCCUGCUGCUCCUGCAUCUGCUGCUGGAGAAGACCACGACGUGCUCAGACCCCGGCACUGGAGAACUCCAGAUGUGGUGAGGGCUGCACGUUAGCUGCAUACGCACAUCUGGAAGGUGAGGCAGACGUGCCCACCGCCUCCAUGCCUGGCCCACAGUUGUGGGCAUGCAGAGCUCCUCUGUGGCAGGCCCAGGCUGCACCAGCUGCCUGGAGAGGCACUGGGGGCGGGGCCUCACUUGAGGGGCAGAUUCUCCCACCCAGCCAGUCCAGGCCCAGCGGCUGGAGCAUCCCGUCCAGCAAAUUGUCCUGCAAGUUGCCCUGGAGACCCAGCGUCUCUCAUCACGUCUCACUCCCCUGCCAGAUGCCUCUGCGGCAAUAACGAGAGUGGCUCUGCCUUCUGCACUGAAUGCCGACAGGUGACCAGAACAUGACACUGGGGUUAUGCAGUGCCCUGGUUGAUAUUCUAGUUCAUCAGGGAGCUUCUGGAAUGAUUUUUUUUUUCUUUUUUUUUUUUUUUUGAGACAGAGUCUCUCUCUGUCGCCCAGGCUGGAGUGCAAUGGAGCAAUCUUGGCUCACCACAACCUCUGCCUCCGGGGUUCAAGUGAUUCUCCUGUCUGAGCCUCCUGAGUAGCUGGGAUUACAGGUGUCCACCACUAUCACUCAGUUAAUUUUUAUAUUUUUAGUAGAGAUGGGGUUUCACCAUGUUGCCUGGGCUGGUCUCAAACUCCUGACCUCAGGUGAUCUGCCUCCUCAGCCUCCCAAAGUGCUGGGAUUACAGGCAUGAGCCACCUCACCCAGCCAACUUUCUUUUGCUUCACUUUUCCUCUGGUUGCCCCAUCUUUAUUGUCAAGUCCUGUUAAGAGGAACAACAUUAAAAUGAGAGCUUUCAUGGCAAAAAGGUUGCUGUGGGUUGAGCUUGCAAUGUUAGCUGCGUGUUAGGAUUCAGCUGACAUCUGUCUCUGGAGUCUCGCCCUUUCUGUAAUUCGCUUUUGACUGUAAUAAAUGUUGUACAGGCCAGGUGCAGUGACUCACACCUGUAAUCCCAGCACUUUGCAAGGCCAAGGCAGGUGGACCACGAGGUCAGGAGAUCGAGAUCAUCCUGGCUAACACGGUGAAACCCCGUCUCCACUGAAAAUACAGAAAAUUAGCUGGGUGUGGUGGCACCUGCCUGUGGUCCCAGCUAUU